CUCUGCAUAAGUGUUCCUUUCGCAUAAAAUCGAUUGAAAAAAAAAAAAUUAAUUAAAACAAAAAUUAAUAUUGACAGGUUUAUCAACAUAAAGAGAACACUGUAGGGUACCCUGUAUAUUGUUUCUGUGAUUGAUUUAAGAUAUGCGUACAUAAUUAAUAACUAUUAAAACAAAGACGUUCAGGAAUUUAAACAAAAGUUGUUUUUAA
Non-coding RNA from Cinara cedri, 208 nucleotides. The record is from the annotation of a GenBank genome assembly. Lineage: Eukaryota; Metazoa; Arthropoda; Insecta; Hemiptera; Aphididae.